This is a non-coding RNA of Lactuca sativa (garden lettuce), 2271 nucleotides long. The record is from RefSeq and is a predicted model, not a curated record. NCBI's taxonomy places the organism in Eukaryota, Viridiplantae, Streptophyta, Magnoliopsida, Asterales, Asteraceae.
UCUCCCCCAUUUUUGUUUCCCUCUUUUCCCUAAGCCCUAAGCAUGAUACUCUGCGCCGCCCCCCUCAAACAUCAUCGGUGACUCCACCUCUUUUCCAUCUCCUCCGCAUUCACGACCAUCUCUAUAUAUGAAUCUCCAUAAAACCCUUAAAUUCUAUAUAAAUGGAAAAUGAAGUAGUCAUCGAUUCUUCCUCCAUCGAAGUAAAAAUCAGUUGCUUGGAUCUUCCUUUUGGCGCAGAAUAUCUCAGAAUCAAUUUUUGGGAUCUUCCUCACCCUCUGGUUUCGAUCUCUUCUAUUUGUGGCAUGUAAAUUUUAGUACUCCCUCUUCCCCACCAUAUCCUAAAUCUCUCGCACACUAUCUCAAGAUAUCAAUCGGUUCUUUUGCAUUAUGCUUUAAAAACCCUUCUCACAUACUCCCUCUUACGCACUAUGCCCUAAAAACUUCUAACAUGCUUCUUGAAGAAAUCUGUCGGUAUCACUCUAAGAACCAUGGUCGUCACCCCUACCACCACUAUUAACGCAGAUGGUCUAGCGAGUCCAGGCAUGGAGUCAUCAGAGCAGGCAACUAAGCCUGAUGCCUUCAAAUGUUCUUGAAUAGGAUAGGAAAAACGACGAUACUGAAGAUACUUGGAGGGAAGCAUAUGGUGGAGCCUGAUAUGAUUAGGGUUCUUGGUAGAUCGGCGUUCCAUGACACCUCUUUGACUUCUUUGGGUGACCUAGCUUAACUUGGUGGAGAGUUGUUACAGAAGGAUUCAAGCAGGCGACUUGGGAUUGGGGUAGGUGGAGGUGAUGAAAUAAAAAAACAUGGUUGGUUUAAAUUGAUUAAUUAGAGGAAACUAGAGGGUAGAGAAAUAAAGCCAAGUUUUGUUCCACAAGUAGCUGGGAAGCAAUGCAUUGUGAAUUUUGAAGAUUGUUGGACAAAUUUACCCCUGCUUCUGGAUUCCCCUGCUGCGAGUCCCAAAUUUUAGGAAAACCCGUUUAAGGGAUUUACUUAUGUCAGGCCUGUAGAUCCUUUCCUACACAGGACUAAAUGAUUCUAAAACUUUGUACCAAGUUUUUUAAAUGUAAUUUUGAGUAUCUAAAUUAUAUGGAUUAUUUUUUAUUGUUAAGCUGUUGCAUUUAUGACAAUUUUAAUUUAGUGAUAUGCUUUAAAGAAGUGUCUACUGAUGAAGCUGUUGAACAAGCUGCUCAUUUGAGAUCUCGGAUGUAUAUUUUAUGGGGGAUUUUGCUUUAUGAGAGAUCUGUUGGUGAAUUCAAAAUGGAUUUGUCAGCAUGGGAAAAAUCUUUAGCUGCUGCUGUUGAAACAUUUGAGCUUGCGGUUUCAUCACCAACAGAUCUUGCAGUAAUUAUAAAGAAUCAUUGCUCAAAUGGAACAGCUUCUGCAGGUCUUGGUUUUAAAAUUGAUGAAAUAGUUCAAGCAUGGAAUGAGAUGUAUGAGGUUAAAAGAUGGCUGACUGGUGUUCCCUCUUUUCGCCUUGAACCACUCUUUAGGCGUCGCGUCUCAAAAUUGCAUUCUCUUAUGGAAGUGGAACAUCGUUGAAUUGGGAUUUCCAUUUUUACCCUUGCUGUAAUUUAGUCAUCGAAUCACUAUUGUUGGAAGCUCUUUCUUCUUUUAAGGGAGUCAUUUAGGAGAUUGCUAGUGCAGUUCCAUUGUGGGGCAGGGUACUCUAUUGCAAAGGUGAUGCAAUUUAUCACCGAACACUGAAAUAGCGGGUGAUGCAGAUGAGGUAAUCCUUUUGACAAACUUCAAAAUCCGAUUUUGCUGCUCAACUUGUUGGAUUCAUGGCAACUUUGUUAGUUGGUGCUCCUGAUCAAGUCCAUUGGAUAUUGGAAUUAGCUAAGUUUGAUUUCAACAUUGUUGCCAGACAUUGGGUUGCAUCUGUACCUGGGAUUUAUUCCCCCAAGCAUCCCUACAUAUCUGAUUCCCUUCAUUAUUUAACUGUAAGUAGUUUGUAUAUAUUUAUUUCAGGGUGAUUAUUGAAGCUUCUGUUGUUGGUAUUAUCCACCUUUAUCGAAUCCUUUUUCAGUAGGGUUGUUAGAGUGCUAGCCAAAAGUUGAACUCUAAUGGUUGCAUUAUUCAAAUUUGUAGGUCUUGUUGAUGUGCAUAGUGUCAAGCAAAGUAGCUCAUGAUGUUGUGAAGGUGGGCAACAAGUUCUUGUAGUUCAACUAUUAUUUGUUGAUGACUUUCAUCUCUUUCACAUUUGAUGUAUUACAUUUGUUUAUCAUUGGAAUGAUUAUUUGUAUGACAUUAACUUUUGUGCAAUGAAUUGUA